GUAGGUGAACCUGCGGAAGGAUCAUUACAGAAUCGUCAACGGGUUGUUGCUGGUCCUCAAACGGGGACAUGUGCACGCUCUGUUUACACAUCCACUCACACCUGUGCACCCUCCGUAGUUCUGUGGUCUGGGGGACCCUGUCUUCCUGCCGUGGUUCUACGUCUUUACACACACACUGUAAUAAAGUCUUAUGGAAUGUAUGCCGCGUCUAACGCAAUACAAUACAACUUUCAGCAACGGAUCUCUUGGC
RNAcentral lists this unclassified non-coding RNA (250 nucleotides) under plant metagenome. Its description in RNAcentral is "partial contains small subunit ribosomal RNA, internal transcribed spacer 1, and 5.8S ribosomal RNA". The record is from RNAcentral.